UACGGGGGGGGCAAGCGUUGUUCGGAAUUACUGGGCGUAAAGGGCGCGUAGGCGGCCUGCUAAGUCGGAUGUGAAAUCCCUCGGCUCAACCGAGGAACUGCAUCCGAUACUGGCGGGCUUGAAUCCGGGAGAGGGAUGUGGAAUUCCCGGUGUAGAGGUGAAAUUCGUAGAUAUCGGGAGGAACACCGGUGGCGAAGGCGGCGACCUGGGUCGAGACUGACGCUGAGGCGCGAAAGCGUGGGGAGCAAACAGG
This 253-nucleotide ribosomal RNA is filed under the name uncultured bacterium. RNAcentral's name for it is "partial 16S ribosomal RNA". It matches the Rfam family "Bacterial small subunit ribosomal RNA", at positions 524 to 776 of the family's 1533-position model. The record is from RNAcentral.